This 100-nucleotide signal recognition particle RNA is filed under the name Chloroflexota bacterium. RNAcentral's name for it is "signal recognition particle sRNA small type". It matches the Rfam family "Bacterial small signal recognition particle RNA". Rfam says of the family: The signal recognition particle (SRP) is a universally conserved ribonucleoprotein involved in the co-translational targeting of proteins to membranes. Lineage: Bacteria; Bacillati; Chloroflexota. The record is from RNAcentral.
GGCUGGGUCCUGCGCGGCGGAUGCCGCCGAACCUGGUCAGGUCCGAGAGGAAGCAGCCAUAAGGCGUGUCAUCCGGGUGCCGCAGGGUUACCUGGCCCUC